GCAGUUAAAAAGCUCGUAGUUGGAUCUCGGGUCCAGGCUGGCGGUCCGACGCCUGUCGGUUACUGCCUGCUCCUGACCUACCUCCCGGUUUUUUCGCCCUUGGUGCUCUUGACUGAGUGUCUCGGGUGGCCGGAACGUUUACUUUGAAAAAAUUAGAGUGUUCAAAGCAGGCAAUAUCGCCUGAAUAAUGGUGCAUGGAAUAAUGGAAUAGGACCUCGGUUCUAUUUUGCUGGUUUUCGGAGCUCGAGGUAAUGAUUAAGAGGGACUGACGGGGGCAUUCGUAUUACGGUGUUAAAGGUGAAAUUCUUGGAUCGCCGUAAGACGAACUACUGCGAAAGCAUUUGCCAAGCAUGUUUUCAUUAGUCAAGAACGAAAGUCAGAGGUUCGAAGACGAUCAGAUACCGCCA
RNAcentral lists this ribosomal RNA (407 nucleotides) under Mytilus trossulus (common blue mussel). Its description in RNAcentral is "SSU rRNA". It matches the Rfam family "Eukaryotic small subunit ribosomal RNA", at positions 615 to 1020 of the family's 1831-position model. Lineage: Eukaryota; Metazoa; Mollusca; Bivalvia; Mytilida; Mytilidae. The record is from RNAcentral.